CACUUUGCAAUCACGGCUCACUGCAGCCUCCUCCAGGCUCAAGUGAUCUUCCUGCCUCAUAGUUUUUAUUUUUUUGUAGAGACGGGUCUCACUGUGUUGCCCAGGCUGUCCUUGAACUCCUGGCCUCAGGUGGUCCUCCUGCCUCAGCCUCCAGAAGUGCUGGAAUUACAGACGUGAGCCACUGAGCCUGGCCUGAAAUCCAAUUUUUAAUGUUGCCUCAAAGAUACCGAAAACAUAGUGAGGGACAAAUGGCACGUCUGUUGGACACAUCAGACAGUGGCCAUCGAUUUGCUAGUUUAGCCAUUCACUGGGGUACAAGGUGAAGCCUGAAGUUUUCCAAACUUCAAACUUGAAGUUAAAGUGCUUCUAUCCACUUCCAGGGGUUGGUGCCCCUGUGCCAGACAGAGCAAACGGGAGGUAGCUGCUCUUCAACCCCUUUCUCCUUUUCCUAGGCCCUCUGCAGCCCCACCACACUUGGUCCCCACGCUGACCGGCUAAGGGUGUGUUGAGCCCGCCUGAGGCCCAAGCCUUCCCUCUGCCCAGAGCUGGGGACUCCUGGCCAAUGGGCACUCCAGCUCACAGACCCUCGGUAUUAGGUGGCUCCUUCAUAGACCACGGACAGAGCCUGGGCUGCAGAACAGAACCCACACCCGGGCGCAAACCACAACUCAGGGCUGCUUCCUGGGAUAGCGAAGAAAGGCUUUGGGAGUGGGCGGACCGAGGGCGCAGGGCGCUUCUCCUCCAGGUCCUCGGCUCGGCCACCCCGGUCCGGCAAAUGGCGGAACAGACCCAGCCUGCCCUUCACUGAGCGCCACUGGUUGCUGGUGCCCCUGCCUCGGCCACAGUCGCGAUCUCGGAAAAUCCAGAGCCAGAACUGUAGUUAUACAGAAGACUCCAGUGCUCCAUACCCACCCUGGGUGGCAAGGCCUGCAGUCUAACACCUUCACUUUGUACUUUUGCCUUUGGAUUCUAAUGUGAAGAAGGAAAAGGCCUUCAAUGCAGAAAAUGGUGAAAAAAAAAAUACCUGCCAGGACAUUAUAAGGAGAAACCAAAAAAUAAACUGGCCAUGGUUUUGCAAGGUGGGCAAAGCCAGGAAGAGGAGAUCGGGAGAGAGAGGUCCGAUGUGAAGAUGUGCACAGAGAUGUCUGGAAAAUAAGCCCAGAAAAAAUAGUCUUCAUAACCCAUAUAGGGGAAAGUGGAAAAAAACUUGGGCAGAGUUCUAACGUGGUGUGUCAUCACAAGACACAUGCCAGAGAGAAGCCCUACCAGUGUAAAGAAUGUAGGCCAGGCGCAGUGGCAUCCCAGCACUUUGGGAGGUCAAGGCAGGUGGAUCACGAGGUCAGGAGAUCGAAACCACCCUGGCUAACACGGUGAAACCCCCGUCUCUACUAAAAAUACAAAAAAAAUAUCCGGGCAUGGUGGCAGGUGCCUGUAGUCCUAGCUACUCGAGAGGCUGAGGCAGGAGAAUGGCAUGAACCUGGGAGGCGGAGCUUGCAGUGAGCCAAGAUCGC
RNAcentral lists this long non-coding RNA (1511 nucleotides) under Homo sapiens (human). RNAcentral describes it as "HSALNT0126232". Lineage: Eukaryota; Metazoa; Chordata; Mammalia; Primates; Hominidae. The record is from RNAcentral.